This 271-nucleotide ribosomal RNA is filed under the name uncultured bacterium. RNAcentral describes it as "partial 16S ribosomal RNA". It matches the Rfam family "Bacterial small subunit ribosomal RNA", at positions 78 to 354 of the family's 1533-position model. The record is from RNAcentral.
CUUAUGAUGGCGACCGGCGCACGGGUGCGUAACGCGUAUGCAACCUACCUUUUACAGGGGCAUAACACUGAGAAAUUGGUACUAAUUCCCCAUAAUAUCUGAGACGGCGUCGUUUUGGGUUGAAAACUCCGGUGGUAAAAGAUGGGCAUGCGUUGUAUUAGCUAGUUGGUGAGGUAACGGCUCACCAAGGCGACGAUACAUAGGGGGACUGAGAGGUUAACCCCCCACAUUGGUACUGAGACACGGACCAAACUCCUACGGAAGGCAGCAG